Molecule: long non-coding RNA, 1304 nt
Organism: Homo sapiens (human)
Lineage: Eukaryota; Metazoa; Chordata; Mammalia; Primates; Hominidae
Source: Ensembl
CUGGCCAGGCAAACAGUGCGCCUGCAGGAGACCCCCUGGGUCUUUCCCUUCCUUUGUACCGCUGUCUCGCUCUCCCUUCCUCACCCUCUUUCUUCUACAAAUAUUUAUCAGAGUCCUUCGGGGGCUAAGGCAUGCUGGCCCACACACUGUCAGGAUCACAAAAAAGCUAAAUAUAAAUAUGCCUCCCAGAGCUUCGGAUAUCAGAACCCAAGUUAGCUGGGACCCAAAGUCUCUGGAAGGCUAGAAAGUUAAUACGGGACGACGUCUCUUGGGACAAGGCAGGUUUUAUCUGUUAAAGAAGAAACUUCUGGCUUGUGUGAGUCACUCAGGCUGCCUGGACUCCUGGGUCUCCCCCUGGAGGGUUGCAUGGUGGGACUUCAUGCAUGAAAAACAGAUUUCACGAUUUCACUAAAAUUGGUUCGAGGCAUCCUGUGUGUCCGGCCCUGGUCUGGUGAUGGUUUCCAGGGCGCAGGAGAAGGUGUGUGGGUCAGCAGGGUUCUCUGGGAAAGAAGACGGGAAGAUGGCCUUCAGAUUUGGCAGCCAUGGGCCACCUGACUCUUCACAUUGAGCCUUGGAGCUGGCCAGCUAGAGGGCAGUUGGGGAGAACACUCCAGGUCACAAGAGAAGGCCGAGCUGGGAGGGAGGGUCUCUAAGGUGCGGUUGAUCUCAGACACCAAGAUUCUACUAUAAAUGGAAGAGUUGGCCGUCCUACAGCCAGGCAGGGGAACUUGGAAAUCUGAUGUUCCAGAAGAGUGUCGUGAAGGAGCAAAGAAAACCCACCAGCAGAUAUUGCUGGGGCCCUGGUUUACAGGCUUAGGGUGGGACAGCGGCCUGACCCCAAGGUGUAGCAGCUGGAACAAGAACGGGCGGAGCAGCUUCGUUCAAGAUCAGAGACCGGCCAGGUGCCCACCGACGGGAGAAUGGAUGAACACGCCGUGGCGUUUUGUGCAGUGGAAUGUCACUCUGUAGCAGAAAGGGACAAAUGACAGCGUGGGUGAGGCUCAGCAAGGCUGUGCUGAGUGGAAGAAGCCCUGCCCAGACGGGCACCCCCGGUGCAAUUCCGUGUCUGUCACGUCCCAGCACCGGCAGAUCCACCCAGUGGUGGCAAGAGCCCAGACGAACGGUGGUCGCUGUUGUGCAUGGGCAGGACUGAGCAGGAAAUGGCAGGAAGCAGGAAGGGCUUCGGGGAUGUGGUAACAUGUACUUUGAUACGGGUUUGGGUUACACAGGUCUAUGCGUUUGCCCAAACUCAGCAAAUAUUUAAGCAACUGUAAACAAAUGUUGGCCAUGAGCUAGCAAUAUGC